AAAAUAAUUUCUGCAAGCAUCCUGUUAAGAGUAUACAUCUUUACCACUUGUCAGUUCGUGUUAAGUUUCAAAAGAGUAUAAUUCAACACAAAACGUGUAUUGUGGGAGAAUUUCAAUUUUUAUUCAAAUAACAAUUUUUUCGUGUGUGCCAUUCUUUUUUUUUUGUUUACACAGAAAUAAAAAACUGACAAAGAAUCAAAGAAAUGUCUUCUACAACCUACUGUUUAAUCCACAUGGCGAUGUCCGGAAUAUACGUAUUCACGGCAUAUUACGCAUUUUUUCAUCUCGAUAUACCAAUGUUAAGACGAAGUACCGAAUAUUUUGACCCUGGCCAAUUUAAGUAUCUCACCGUUUGGAAUGUUAUUCUACAGGCCAUAUUUUUCUUCAUCUGUAUGUUAAAUGACGUGUAUGGAACGAAUAAAAGUAGUCCAAAAAAAACUCCAUUUAUUAGACGAUUCAAAGACUUCUUUCAUGCUGCGUUAAGUUUUCCCGUUGGUAUGUUUGUAGGUGUGACAUUUUGGUCUCUAAUGUUCGUCGAUCGUGAACUAGUAUUGCCAAAAGCAUUGGAUCCCUAUUUUCCAUCAUGGCUGAAUCAUUUAAUGCACACAUUAAUUGUUGUAACGACAGUUACAGAAAUGUUCAUAGCACCACGUCAAUAUCCUAAACGAACACAAGGUCUCGGAGGACUUCUUUCAUUUAUGUUAACUUAUUUAGUUUGGAUGCAUGUGAUUUACAUGAAGAGUGGAAUUUGGGUCUACCCUGUGAUGGAAGUAUUGACAGUGCCCUUAAGGAUAGCCUUCAUUGUCGUAUUACUGCUAUUUACAGUAAUACUCUACUUCACUGGAGAAACAUUCAAUCAUCUGAUCUGGGGUAACGAUCAAUUCAAACAUCAAAAAUCUCAUAUGAAAGCCAAGUAGCCUCGCCAAUUGUCACCUCCUGGUGACGUCUACACGCGUUCUACUCUCUACGGUGGUGGUAAAAAAUACACUCAAACAGAGAUACCAGUUUCGAAAAUGUAGAUGCAAGCAAAAAAAACCAGGAGGACUACACAUCGAUACUCGAAAAAAUAAAAUAUCUUCGUCGUCCACAAAAAAUAAUCCCAAAGAAGUACGAUUCAUUUUACAAAGGAGAAUACCAGAACAAUUUGAAUCGACCAAAAUAAUUUUAAAGAAAAAACAAAUCUAUGAUAAUAAUAAUAAUAAUAUACACUAAAGGAAUUUUUUAAUUUAUCCAGAGAAAAGACAAUCGAAGAAUAUAUUUUUUAAAAACUACUUUUUUUUAGAAAAAGAAAAAUCUCUUCACUGCCUUUUUAAUGUCUUUGUAGAUCAAUUUUGUUUUUAUUAUGUUUUUUUAAUUGAAUUACCUCAGUAAACUGAUGUAUUUUACUGCCUUUUUUCUAAUUCCUGAAUGCUGUGCUAGAUAUUAAGCUUAUCUAUCUUUGUACAAAUUCUUGAAAAUAAAUGUGCAUUGUGAAUGUGUAUAUAUAAAUAUAAUUUACAUUUAGACAAUAAACUUUGUUAAUUUGCGUUUA
Molecule: RNA transcript, 1531 nt
Organism: Leptopilina heterotoma
Lineage: Eukaryota; Metazoa; Arthropoda; Insecta; Hymenoptera; Figitidae
Gene name: androgen-dependent TFPI-regulating protein-like
Exons: 6
Source: RefSeq, a predicted model, not a curated record